GUGUCCCCCGCAGCCCCCGAUCGCCCCAAGCUGCCGCAGCUGCCCUCGCCCGCCCCGGCUCCAGCUCACUCACCACGUACGAAGAGAAGGCGGCGGCUGCCGCCGCCGCGGGGUCGGCGCCGUACUGGAGGUGCGAGUUGUAGCCCGGCGAGGGCGCCGUGAAGGCGGUGGAGCCGGCGUAGGGCGAGAACGCGGAGCCCGACGACGAGCGCCCGAGCUCAUCCGUGCGGGGCCCCGAGAUGACGCUGGUGCUGUACGCCGGGCACGAGUAGAGCGCCAGCGAGGCGGACGGCUGGUACAAGUAGCCCUGCGGAAUCGUUUCCAUUUUCUGUGCAGGUUUUAAGUAUGAUGUUUCCGUAAUACAUUUGGAUGUUUUCAGCUAAGCUCACUUCUGAACCAUGGGGUUCCUCCAAAUGUUGACUGAAAUUUGUCCUUGUGCAUCCCCAGGCUCAUCUGCAAAAUCUACAGUCCAUAAUGGAGCUACUGUACUGGCUAUUGGAAGAAGGAGAUUCUGAAGAUAGGGAGUUCAUCAAGAAGCCAAAGAUCUUAUGCCUGACUAAGAAUCUCCAUAUCUAACUUGAUUCAGCUGUCAGUCUGAAAUUUCCUGUGGUCUGUUCAGUCUAGAUGCAAAGGCCAUGGAAAAAUCAAGUGCUCAAGUGGUUUAAAUAUGUUUUGGAUGUUCUUAUUUAUAGAUUACAGUAUUUUUCCACUUAAAAUCCACAGUUGUCAUGCAGAAGAAGGUUAUGCCCUUCUAGAUCACCAAUUUUAUUUGACAUGCUUAGCGUUGUAAUGUAUUACCAAGUGCUAUCUGUUUUAAUCAAAGUAUAGAAAAAAUAAAAUCAAUUUUAUAUGUUGA
Molecule: long non-coding RNA, 856 nt
Organism: Lagenorhynchus albirostris (white-beaked dolphin)
Lineage: Eukaryota; Metazoa; Chordata; Mammalia; Artiodactyla; Delphinidae
Exons: 5
Source: RefSeq, a predicted model, not a curated record